GGAAGGAUCAUUACCGAAUUGUCAAACGGGUUGUUGCUGGUCCUCAAACGGGGACAUGUGCACGCUCUGUUUACACAUCCACUCACACCUGUGCACCCUCCGUAGUUCUAUGGUCUGGGGGACCCCGUCUUCCUGCCGUGGUUCUGCGUCUUUACACACACGCUGUAACAAAGUCUUAUGGAAUGUAUGCCGCGUCUAACGCAAUACAAUACAACUUUCAGCAACGGAUCUCUUGGCUCUCGCAUCGAUGAAGAACGCAGCGAAAUGCGAUAAGUAAUGUGAAUUGCAGAAUUCAGUGAAUCAUCGAAUCUUUGAACGCACCUUGCGCCCCUUGGCUAUUCCGAGGGGCAUGCCUGUUUGAGUAUCAUGAACACCUCAACUCUCAUGGUUUGCCAUGAUGAGCUUGGACUCUGGGGGUUUUGCUGGCCUGUGGUCGGCUCCCCUCAAAUGAAUCAGCCUCCCAGUGUUUGGUGGCAUCACGGGUGUGAUAAAUAUCUACGCUCAUGGUCGUCUGCCAGGUAACCUUUGGUGACAAAGGUUUGCUGGAGCUCAUAGAUGUCUCUUCUCAGUGAGGACAGCUUUUUGAACGUUCGAUCUCAAAUCAGGUAGGACUACCCGCUGAACUUAAGCAUAUCAA
This 637-nucleotide unclassified non-coding RNA is filed under the name uncultured Thelephoraceae. RNAcentral's name for it is "sequence contains ITS1, 5.8S rRNA gene, ITS2". The stretch from base 213 to 367 matches the Rfam family "5.8S ribosomal RNA". Lineage: Eukaryota; Fungi; Basidiomycota; Agaricomycetes; Thelephorales; Thelephoraceae. The record is from RNAcentral.